Molecule: ribosomal RNA, 350 nt
Filed under: uncultured bacterium
Lineage: Bacteria
Description: partial 16S ribosomal RNA
Rfam family: Bacterial small subunit ribosomal RNA
Source: RNAcentral
CCUACGGGAGGCAGCAGUCGAGAAUCAUUCACAAUGGGGGAAACCCUGAUGGUGCGACGCCGCGUGGGGGAAUGCAGGUCUUCGGAUUGUAAACCCCUGUCAUGUGGGAGCAAAUCACAAAGAUAGUACCACAAUAGGAAGAGACGGCUAACUCUGUGCCAGCAGCCGCGGUAAUACAGAGGUCUCAAGCGUUGUUCGGAAUCACUGGGCGUAAAGGGUGCGUAGGCUGUUUCGUAAGUCGUGUGUGAAAGGCGGGGGCUCAACCCGCGGACGGCACAUGAUACUGCGGGACUAGAGAAAAGGAGCGGGAACCGGAAUUCUCGGUGUAGCAGUGAAAUGCGUAGAUAUCG